RNAcentral lists this ribosomal RNA (496 nucleotides) under uncultured bacterium. Its description in RNAcentral is "partial 16S ribosomal RNA". It matches the Rfam family "Bacterial small subunit ribosomal RNA", at positions 28 to 506 of the family's 1533-position model. The record is from RNAcentral.
GAUGAACGCUGGCGGCGUGCCUAAUACAUGCAAGUCGAGCGAGCAGACGAGGAGCUUGCUCCUCUGACGUUAGCGGCGGACGGGUGAGUAACACGUGGAUAACCUACCUAUAAGACUGGGAUAACUUCGGGAAACCGGAGCUAAUACCGGAUAAUAUAUUGAACCGCAUGGUUCAAUAGUGAAAGACGGUUUUGCUGUCACUUAUAGAUGGAUCCGCGCCGCAUUAGCUAGUUGGUAAGGUAACGGCUUACCAAGGCAACGAUGCGUAGCCGACCUGAGAGGGGGAUCGGCCAAACGGGAACUGAGACACGGUCCAGACUCCUACGGGAGGCAGCAGUAGGGAAUCUUCCGCAAUGGGCGAAAGCCUGACGGAGCAACGCCGCGUGAGUGAUGAAGGUCUUCGGAUCGUAAAACGCUGUUAUUAGGGAAGAACAAAUGUGUAAGUAACUAUGCACGUCUUGACGGUACCUAAUCAGAAAGCCACGGCUAACUACGU